RNAcentral lists this transfer RNA (72 nucleotides) under Capra hircus (goat). It matches the Rfam family "tRNA". Rfam says of the family: Transfer RNA (tRNA) molecules are approximately 80 nucleotides in length. Their secondary structure includes four short double-helical elements and three loops (D, anti-codon, and T loops). The record is from Rfam by way of RNAcentral. Lineage: Eukaryota; Metazoa; Chordata; Mammalia; Artiodactyla; Bovidae. RNAcentral also lists the same sequence under 1 other name.
UCUCUGGUACCUCAGCUGGUAAAGAGCCUGCCUGCAAUGCAGGAGAUCCUGGUUCAAUUCCUGGCUCAGGAG